RNAcentral lists this unclassified non-coding RNA (379 nucleotides) under uncultured bacterium. Its description in RNAcentral is "contains 16S-23S intergenic spacer region". The record is from RNAcentral.
UCCGGUUCGUCACCGGCGGUCUCCUUAGAGUUCCCACCAUUACGUGCUGGCAACUAAGGACAAGGGUUGCGCUCGUUGCGGGACUUAACCCAACAUCUCACGACACGAGCUGACGACAGCCAUGCAGCACCUGUGUUCUGGUUCCCGAAGGCACUCCUCUAUCUCUAAAGGAUUCCAGACAUGUCAAGCCUAGGUAAGGUUCUUCGCGUUGCAUCGAAUUAAAGAACAUGCUCCGCUGCUUGUGCGGGCCCCCGUCAAUUCUUUUGAGUUUUAGCCUUGCGGCCGUACUCCCCAGGCGGAACACUUAACGCGUUGGCUGCGGCACAGAGGGAUUCGACUCCCCCCACACCUAGUGUUCAUCGUUUACGGCAUGGACUAC